GGAUUGUGGCUCAGUGGCAGAGUGCUUGCCUUGCAUGUAUGAGACACUGGGUUCGAUCCUCAGUACCA
RNAcentral lists this transfer RNA (68 nucleotides) under Marmota monax (woodchuck). RNAcentral's name for it is "tRNA.Ala". The stretch from base 5 to 65 matches the Rfam family "tRNA", at positions 6 to 65 of the family's 71-position model. From Rfam's summary of the family: Transfer RNA (tRNA) molecules are approximately 80 nucleotides in length. The record is from RNAcentral. Lineage: Eukaryota; Metazoa; Chordata; Mammalia; Rodentia; Sciuridae.